This 1772-nucleotide long non-coding RNA is filed under the name Phoenix dactylifera (date palm). RNAcentral describes it as "long non-coding RNA (PDAC_LNC007775)". Lineage: Eukaryota; Viridiplantae; Streptophyta; Magnoliopsida; Arecales; Arecaceae. The record is from RNAcentral.
GGGUGCUUCGAGAGCUUUGGAUAUGGCGAGGGGGCCGAGAGAGAGGGAAGCAGAGGGGAGAGAGGGGAGAGAGGCUGAGAGAGAGAGGUUUGAGCCGUUGUGGGAGAGUUUCAAGAACUUUGGAUCUGGUGACAAGGAUCGAGAGAGAGAGGGAUAGAGAGAGGGAGAGAGAGAGGAGGGAGAUAGAUUCACUCGGCUGGGGACCUCGUUGUCGUAUGGCAACUUGACAUAGACUGAGGGCUUUGGGGAUUAGGGCUUUGAAACCGAGCGAGGGGAGAAGCUUCAAGCGAGGAAGGGGUGAAGCCUUUAUAUCCCAAACCGACCGGUUGAAUUGUGCUGGAAACCGACCAGUCCAGUUCGGUAUGGCCCGAACCAGCAGGUUUGGCUCGAUUUGGCUAACCUUAGCCUAUAUGUUUGAAAAGGUGUACAAGAUAGGAAAAAUGUCUUAAGAACUUGGUAAUGUUCUAUCGCAAUAAUUCUAGGAGUAUUUGAUGCAAUGAUGAUAGAAAUUCACGCAUUCAUGAGAAACUGUAGGCGAUUUGGUGGUUUAAGGAAUAAAGAAGUGAGUUGACAAUAAUCCAUCGCAUAUAACUUGCAAGUUUGGCAAAUAGAAUAAUUUUAAUUUUCCUAACUACUGAUUUUGAUAAAGAGAAUAGACAAUUGUUUCCAACCUUUGAUGUUGAGAUAUCAAGUGAAUAUAUGUCUUGAGUGGAGAGCAAGGAUAAUUUAUCGUAGAUGCACUUUCAUUGUUUUUUAACUUUGACAAGGAUUAAGAACAAGGAACAGAAAAAAACAAAGAGUGAAGGAUGCGAAGGAUACACAUGAAACAGUAUGACUAUUUUAUGGUAUGCAAGAUGGUCUUUCUUUGUGUCUAUGAUAUAUGCUAAGAUUAAGAAUACCCUUAGCCCACAGCAUGUAUUGAGUCAUGUAUCGGAUAAGUAACAAAAGAAGCAAAAGCAAUUAAAAAAAUAAAGGAGUUGUGGAAGCAAAUGAAGAUAGAGGUAAAAGGAUUGGAAGAUAUUAUUGAUAGGUGUAGAAGGGAAAACUAGGAUUUCUUGCACUUUGUACCUAUUAGACCUUUGGGCCUUGCACUUGUGGUUUUCACAGGGCUGCUAUAGAGAAAUGCUGACCUUUAUCUCAUCAUGCUCAAUGAGAUCCUGCAAUGUCUUGGCUAACAAGAAUUUGAGAGAAUUCUCAAAGGGAUUAAUAUUCAUCUCUCUAUAAAAAAACUCAAGACUACGGAGGUAUUUAUAAUGUUUAGGGGCUUUGUAACAAUUAGCAUUUGGGACCUCAUGUAUUUGUCUAGAAUUAUAAAAAGUAACAACAAAAAAACUUAAAUGAAACAAACUUGCAGACUAAGUCCUCAUGGUGGUCUUGAGAAUUGGACGGUAGGUUGCUAUAGUUGGGAGUCAAAAUCCUCCAACUAGGUUUCAGUUGAUUUAUGCAUGAAUGCUUGCAGAACUGCUAAAUGAAUUCUUGGAAUUCCAUAGAUUUCAUUUUAUAUUCUGCCAGUGGCGGUGGAUUAUGUAAAUAAAGAAUGUGAUAGUAGAGUAUGCAGGUAGAUGGAGAAUCUUGAACCUUUAAACCAUGCAUGUGGUAGAAGAGUUUUUAUUUACACAAGUCAUCUGCAUUGGAUGGUUGGACAUGCUUUAGUGAUGCUAAUUAUAAAUUUAUAUAGUAAGUGAUCAUAGUGCUUGCGGCAUGCGGCCAUGAACUCUUCUGGUGGACCUUAUAAUUGUUAUGUUUUCCUUGUAAUAUAUGCUGUAACGUUG